RNAcentral lists this ribosomal RNA (405 nucleotides) under uncultured bacterium. Its description in RNAcentral is "partial 16S ribosomal RNA". It matches the Rfam family "Bacterial small subunit ribosomal RNA", at positions 28 to 526 of the family's 1533-position model. The record is from RNAcentral.
GAUGAACGCUGGCGGCGUGCCUAAUACAUGCAAGUCGAGCGAAGCGAGAACGGUUGAGUAACGCGUAGAUAAACUGCUAUACCACUGGGAUAACGUCGGAAAACCGGUGCUAAAGCGGAUACUUGUAGGUGGAUACGCGCUGCAUUAGCGAUUGGGGAAGGUAACGGCUUACCAAGGCAACGAUGCAUAGCCGACCUGAGAGGGUGAUCGGCCACACUGGAACUGAGACACGGUCCAGACUCCUACGGGAGGCAGCAGUAGGGAAUCGUCCGCAAUGGGCGAAAGCCUGACCGAGCAACGCCGCGUGAGUGAUGAAGGUCUUCGGAUCGUAAAACUCUGUUAUUAGGGAAGCGGUACCUAAUCAGAAAGCCACGGCUAACUACGUGCCAGCAGCCGCGGUAAUAC